Molecule: non-coding RNA, 48 nt
Filed under: Schistosoma mansoni
Lineage: Eukaryota; Metazoa; Platyhelminthes; Trematoda; Strigeidida; Schistosomatidae
Source: RNAcentral
AUCCAGCUAACGAGUUCCAAAGAGGACGAAACGCGCAUCGAGCUGGAU